Molecule: ribosomal RNA, 490 nt
Filed under: Microbacterium sp. LL6
Lineage: Bacteria; Bacillati; Actinomycetota; Actinomycetes; Micrococcales; Microbacteriaceae
Description: bacterial SSU rRNA
Rfam family: Bacterial small subunit ribosomal RNA
Source: RNAcentral
UGGGAUCAGUGGCGAACGGGUGAGUAACACGUGAGCAACCUGCCCCUGACUCUGGGAUAAGCGCUGGAAACGGCGUCUAAUACUGGAUAUGUGACGUGAUCGCAUGGUCUGCGUUUGGAAAGAAUUUCGGUUGGGGAUGGGCUCGCGGCCUAUCAGCUUGUUGGUGAGGUAAUGGCUCACCAAGGCGUCGACGGGUAGCCGGCCUUGAGUGGUGACCGGCCACACUGGGACUGAGACACGGUCCAGACUCCUACGGGAGGCAGCAGUGGGGAAUAUUGCACAAUGGGCGCAAGCCUGAUGCAGCAACGCCGCGUGAGGGAUGACGGCCUUCGGGUUGUAAACCUCUUUAACAGGGAAGAAGCGAAAGUGACGGUACCUGCAGAAAAAGCGCCGGCUAACUACGUGCCAGCAGCCGCGGUAAUACGUAGGGCGCAAGCGUUAUCCGGAAUUAUUGGGCGUAAAGAGCUCGUAGGCGGUUUGUCGCGUCUGC